Non-coding RNA from Chrysemys picta bellii (western painted turtle), 1315 nucleotides. NCBI's taxonomy places the organism in Eukaryota, Metazoa, Chordata, Testudines, Emydidae. The record is from RefSeq and is a predicted model, not a curated record.
CUAACACACGCAAUUACACCAUUCAUCAACCUCACUUAGACAUUUCAGUCCCCACAACCACACGCCAGUGUGCCAGACUCCAAAGCCACACGAAUCCUGCGUCGGAGACAAGGCACUGGUCUAUUCAGCACGCUGAGAUGGAUUUUUCAGCUUUCCGGAAAGCUACUCUAUAACCUAAGAAUUUUUGCCUCUGUUCCCGAGUCUGCCUAUACCAUGCAUUGUUUGAACUGGGUGAGUCUAAAAUACCCUCUCUUCCUCUUCACGGUUUGAGAGAGGAGAGCUCCAGGGAAAGCCACGGCUAAAGUCCCUGGAAAGUCUCCUCUUGGAAUGCAGCAAUGCGUGCUUUCUAGAUGGUAGAUAAUUUGUGAAGCAGCAACAGAAAUGGAUUGGGGAGAGAGUGGGCUGAUGACCCCUUUAACUCUCCCAGAUGUGAGACUGCUGCCGGACACCACCUUCAGACUCUCAGGCAGGCUACAGGCUCGCAGCAGAAAGAUUGACAGACUUUUGCCAGGCAGCCUUCUGGACAGCAGGCCGGCUUAGGUAUGCGAGGCAGCUAGGGUUAAUUGUUCUGCUGGUCCAAACUGCUGUGUUGCAAAGGCGCCUUUCUCCACUGUCCUAUAAUUGUCCCGUUUGCUGUGAGCUGGCGAGCUAACAGUGAAAUCCUACAGACGCCUUCACUUCAUUAUUGUAGUGUAGAGAUCGCACUGCAUGUGGGCAGAGACUCAGCAGUACCUACUGACUCAGAAUUCGCCACUGUAGUUUCAAUCGCUCAUACUAACGUAAUGUGUGUAUAUAAAGAAUAUGUCGUCUGACCUCCAGGCAUUUAUCAUAGGAACUCCAUACAUAUUACACACACCUACUGACAGGAAUCUGUAUAAAACACUCACUCUGUACUAUCCUUUGUCUACUUCACAAGUGCCAUCCUACGGUAAUUUAGAACAUAGCUCUUUGCCUAUUGUUUUAGGUAGAUCUUGCUUUUCCUCCGCCAGAGUACAAUGUAUAGGAUUUCUCCCCCCAAGUCAGUGAUCUGCACAAUUCUAUAUGAACUUCCCGGAGCAUCAAAAUAACGCCCCUACUGCGGUCAGGAUAUAGGUCACCUCUUUAAAGGAAACACGACCCUUCCAAAAAUAUAUAACAGCUCUGACGUAAAAAAAAUCUUUUGUCUCCGGGCAUCCUUUGUCGGGGUAAAUAAAACGUGACAGGCGCUGAGUACAAUAAUAAUAAUAAUAAUUAAUGUAUUUUUUAAAAAGCAGAGAAAAUACAAAUUCUAUGUCUGGUCUGGUUUUCCAUCACAGCUCAGGCUAGGAGAGUGGAG